AAGUCAAAGUUGUGAUACUAAAGAGCUGUACACAUAUUCAGAAACAAGUCUUAAGAGUUACAGAACUGGAUCUAGGAUCAGGUCCCAUAUUCACAAACAAGUCUCAGAGUAACAGAACUGGAUCUAGGAUCAGGUCCCAUAUUCACAAACAAGUCUCAGAGUAACAGAACUGGAUCUAGGAUCAGGUCCCAUAUUCACAAACUGGAUCUAGGAUCAGGUCCCAUAUUCACAGUCUCAGAGUAACAUAACUAGAUCUAAGAUCAGGUCCCAUAUUCACAAA
Molecule: long non-coding RNA, 280 nt
Organism: Salvelinus fontinalis (brook trout)
Lineage: Eukaryota; Metazoa; Chordata; Actinopteri; Salmoniformes; Salmonidae
Exons: 4
Source: RefSeq, a predicted model, not a curated record